GGGCGUUUGGUCUAGGGGUAUGAUUUCCCCUUCGCAGAUCACGUGGAUGUAACAAUUCAUCUGAUUCUAAAUUGGGGAAGGUCAUGGGUUCAAUUCCCAUAAUGUCCAC
RNAcentral lists this transfer RNA (109 nucleotides) under Pseudogymnoascus destructans. RNAcentral describes it as "partial tRNA-Ala". It matches the Rfam family "tRNA". From Rfam's summary of the family: Transfer RNA (tRNA) molecules are approximately 80 nucleotides in length. Lineage: Eukaryota; Fungi; Ascomycota; Leotiomycetes; Thelebolales; Thelebolaceae. The record is from RNAcentral.